RNAcentral lists this ribosomal RNA (382 nucleotides) under uncultured bacterium. RNAcentral's name for it is "bacterial SSU rRNA". It matches the Rfam family "Bacterial small subunit ribosomal RNA", at positions 30 to 414 of the family's 1533-position model. The record is from RNAcentral.
AUUGAACGCUGGCGGCAUGCCUUACACAUGCAAGUCGAACGGUAGAGGGGGCAACCCCUUGAGAGUGGCGAACGGGUGAGUAAUAUAUCGGAACGUGCCCAGUCGUGGGGAUAACGUAGCGAAAGUUACGCUAAUACCGCAUACGAUCUACGGAUGAAAGCGGGGGACUCGCAAGAGCCUCGCGCGAUUGGAGCGGCCGAUAUCAGAUUAGGUAGUUGGUGAGGUAAAGGCUCACCAAGCCGACGAUCUGUAGCUGGUCUGAGAGGACGACCAGCCACACUGGGACUGAGACACGGCCCAGACUCCUACGGGAGGCAGCAGUGGGGAAUUUUUGGACAAUGGGCGCAAGCCUGAUCCAGCAAUGCCGCGUGCAGGAUGAAGG